CCUACGUGUGGCAGCAGUGAGGAAUAUUGGUCAAUGGACGCAAGUCUGAACCAGCCAUGCCGCGUGCAGGAAGACGGCUCUAUGAGUUGUAAACUGCUUUUGUACGAGGGUAACUCACGAUCCGUGUAUCGCGUUGCAUGUAUCUUACUACUAAGGAUCGGCUAACUCCGUGCCAGCAGCCGCGGUAAUACGGAGGAUUCAAGCGUUUUCCGGCUGUAUUGGGUUUAAAGGGUGAGUAGGCGGUGCGGUAAGUUAGAGGUGAAAUCCCGGGGCUCAACUCCGGAACUGCCUUUGAUACUGUCGGGCUAGAGUUUAGUUGCGGUAGGCGGAAUGUAUGGUGUAGCGGUGAAAUGCGUAGAGAUCAUACAGAACACCGAUUGCGAAGGCAGAUUACCGAACUACGACUGACGUUGAGGCACGAAAGCGUGGGGAGCAAACAGGAUUAGAUACCCGAGUAGUC
RNAcentral lists this ribosomal RNA (460 nucleotides) under uncultured bacterium. Its description in RNAcentral is "partial 16S ribosomal RNA". It matches the Rfam family "Bacterial small subunit ribosomal RNA", at positions 338 to 795 of the family's 1533-position model. The record is from RNAcentral.